Molecule: ribosomal RNA, 264 nt
Filed under: uncultured bacterium
Lineage: Bacteria
Description: partial 16S ribosomal RNA
Rfam family: Bacterial small subunit ribosomal RNA
Source: RNAcentral
GUCCACGCCCUAAACGAUGUCAACUAGGUGUUGGAUGGGUAAACCAUUUAGUACCGGAGCUAACGCGUGAAGUUGACCGCCUGGGGAGUACGGCCGCAAGGUUAAACUCAAAGGAAUUGACGGGGACCCGCACAAGCGGUGGAUGAUGUGGAUUAAUUCGAUGCAACGCGAAAAACCUUACCUACCAUUGACAUGUCCAGGAGCCUGAAGAGAUUUGGGUGUGCCCGAAAGGGAACUGGAACACAGGUGCUGCAUGGCUGUCGU